This 274-nucleotide ribosomal RNA is filed under the name uncultured bacterium. Its description in RNAcentral is "partial 16S ribosomal RNA". It matches the Rfam family "Bacterial small subunit ribosomal RNA", at positions 523 to 796 of the family's 1533-position model. The record is from RNAcentral.
AUACAUGGGGUGCGAGCGUUAAUCGGAAUUACUGGGCGUAAAGAGUACGUAGGCGGUUGCUUAAGUCAGAUGUGAAAGCCCCGGGCUCAACCUGGGAACUGCAUUUGAAACUGAGUGACUAGAGUUUAAGAGAGGGGAGUAGAAUUCCGGGUGUAGCGGUGAAAUGCGUAGAGAUCCGGAGGAAUACCAGUGGCGAAGGCGGCUCCCUGGCUUAAAACUGACGCUGAGGUACGAAAGCGUGGGUAGCAAACAGGAUUAGAAACCCCGGUAGUCC